This 564-nucleotide non-coding RNA is filed under the name Pongo abelii (Sumatran orangutan). The record is from RNAcentral. Lineage: Eukaryota; Metazoa; Chordata; Mammalia; Primates; Hominidae.
CAAACCGGAAUCACUGGGGCCAUCCAGGAAUCAAAGCAGCUCAUGAAGAAAUUCCAUGCGAACAGGGCUGUUAAAAGCUAACCUGCCAGAAAGGGUAGAACGGAGGAAGGACAAGAGGAUUCUAACACGUCCUGGAGGCAGAGCACCCACGGAAGUUUCUCAACACUUCUCGUUGAAUCAAGUGGAACACCUUGAAGAGAGGCCCUUCUGUUUCCCUACAUGGUGGACAGCAGAGCUUUGAAAAUUAGAUGCUUCCCCAAACCCAGACUCUCUUGGAACAUUCUUCCCAGGUGGGUGGUAUGAACUGCGUGGCACUGGUGUCCUCGUUGGCAUAUAUAGAUUUACACUCUCAGGGACGAGACUUCCAAGGCAACACCUAGGAUUUAGAGACUAUGUUGUCAGAGACGGGCACGGAGGCAUCAUCCUUGUUCUCAUGUGGUCAAGAAGGAAGACGAAGAGAAACGUGGGCUAAGCAGCCCGGCCCUCUCCAUGGGCAGAGGCUCACCAACACCUGCCCCUCCCUCCAGGGUGUCGCCGGCUUUCAGAAUAAAGCCUUUUCUAACA